Molecule: transfer RNA, 73 nt
Filed under: Trachymyrmex cornetzi
Lineage: Eukaryota; Metazoa; Arthropoda; Insecta; Hymenoptera; Formicidae
Rfam family: tRNA
About the family: Transfer RNA (tRNA) molecules are approximately 80 nucleotides in length. Their secondary structure includes four short double-helical elements and three loops (D, anti-codon, and T loops). Further hydrogen bonds mediate the characteristic L-shaped molecular structure. tRNAs have two regions of fundamental functional importance: the anti-codon, which is responsible for specific mRNA codon recognition, and the 3' end, to which the tRNAs corresponding amino acid is attached (by aminoacyl-tRNA synthetases). tRNAs cope with the degeneracy of the genetic code in two manners: having more than one tRNA (with a specific anti-codon) for a particular amino acid; and 'wobble' base-pairing, i.e. permitting non-standard base-pairing at the 3rd anti-codon position.
Source: Rfam by way of RNAcentral
GCCUCGGUAGUCUAAAGGCUUAGGAUGCUCGUACGAAAUACAAGAGAUUCGGGUUCGAUUCCUGGCAGAGGUA